This 253-nucleotide ribosomal RNA is filed under the name uncultured bacterium. RNAcentral describes it as "partial 16S ribosomal RNA". It matches the Rfam family "Bacterial small subunit ribosomal RNA", at positions 524 to 776 of the family's 1533-position model. The record is from RNAcentral.
UACGUAGGGACCGAGCGCUGUCCGGAUUCAUUGGGCGUAAAGAGCUCGUAGGCGGCCACUCAAGUCGAAUGUGAAACCUCGAGGCUCAACCUCGAGCCUGCAUUCGAUACUGGGCGGCUAGAGUCUGGUAGGGGGAUCUGGAAUUCCUGGUGUAGCGGUGGAAUGCGCAGAUAUCAGGAGGAACACCGGUGGCGAAGGCGGGAUCCUGGGCCAGUACUGACGCUGAGGAGCGAAAGCGUGGGGAGCAAACAGG